This 253-nucleotide ribosomal RNA is filed under the name uncultured bacterium. RNAcentral's name for it is "partial 16S ribosomal RNA". It matches the Rfam family "Bacterial small subunit ribosomal RNA", at positions 524 to 776 of the family's 1533-position model. The record is from RNAcentral.
UACGGGGGGGGCAAGCGUUGUUCGGAAUUACUGGGCGUAAAGGGCGAGUAGGCGGCCUCCUAAGUCAGACGUGAAAUCCCCCGGCUUAACCUGGGAACUGCGUCUGAUACUGGGAAGCUUGAGUAUGGGAGAGGAAGGUAGAAUUCCAGGUGUAGCGGUGAAAUGCGUAGAUAUCUGGAGGAAUACCGGUGGCGAAGGCGGCCUUCUGGACCAUAACUGACGCUGAUCCGCGAAAGCUAGGGGAGCAAACGGG